CCUACGGGUGGCAGCAGUGGGGAAUAUUGCACAAUGGGGGAAACCCUGAUGCAGCGACGCCGCGUGAAGGAAGAAGUAUUUCGGUAUGUAAACUUCUAUCAGCAGGGAAGAAAAUGACGGUACCUGACUCAUAAGCCCCGGCUAACUACGUGCCAGCAGCCGCGGUAAUACGGAGGGGGCCAGCGUUAUCCGGAUUUACUGGGUGUAAAGGGAGCGUAGGCGGUAAUGCAAGUCAGAAGUGAAAGCCCGGGGCUCAACUCCGGGACUGCUUUUGAAACUGGGUUGCUAGAGUGCAGGAGAGGUAAGUGGAAUGCCUGGUGUAGCGGUGAAAUGCGUAGAUAUUAGGAGGAACACCAGUGGCGAAGGCGGCCUGCUGGGCUUUUACUGACGCUGAGGCUCGAAAGUGUGGGGAGCAAACAGGAUUAGAUACCCGUGUAGUC
This 440-nucleotide ribosomal RNA is filed under the name uncultured bacterium. RNAcentral describes it as "partial 16S ribosomal RNA". It matches the Rfam family "Bacterial small subunit ribosomal RNA", at positions 338 to 795 of the family's 1533-position model. The record is from RNAcentral.